Molecule: non-coding RNA, 461 nt
Organism: Arachis ipaensis
Lineage: Eukaryota; Viridiplantae; Streptophyta; Magnoliopsida; Fabales; Fabaceae
Source: RefSeq, a predicted model, not a curated record
CAAUGAUCUGCAUAAAAGACACCAGUCUUCAUAAAUUUCACCAACUCCUGGGACAUUCACCAAAACUAUAGAAAAUCACGUGCCGCUGUACUCACACCAAAAAAGGGGACACCAUAUAAAGCUUGAGGCCAGUGAUUCCACGAGAUAUCACUUCAUCACUUGCUGGUUGAAGGUCAUCAAGCCGGUGCCACGAAAUUUCCUACAAACCAACAACAAAAAUUUCUCAACAACCAAAAUUUCAAUCAUUAAUCACCUACAACUGACCGUGAGAAGUGAUAAUGUUACAAAGCAUAUUCAACUCAAGCUUCCGAGAAUAAACAAUGCAGACCACAUAUAGAUUCAUGUAAAUAGAAGAACACCAGUACUCAAAUACGAAAAGGACAAAAUAGCAAAUGCAUUAUAAUGAAUACAACAUAACACUAUUAGAAAAUGAUCCUACCGGAAAGAAAACAAAACUUAAA